RNAcentral lists this ribosomal RNA (143 nucleotides) under Roseovarius sp. Its description in RNAcentral is "partial 16S ribosomal RNA". It matches the Rfam family "Bacterial small subunit ribosomal RNA", at positions 1 to 154 of the family's 1533-position model. The record is from RNAcentral. Lineage: Bacteria; Pseudomonadati; Pseudomonadota; Alphaproteobacteria; Rhodobacterales; Roseobacteraceae.
UUUCAACUUGAGAGUUUGAUCCUGGCUCAGAACGAACGCUGGCGGCAGGCCUAACACAUGCAAGUCGAGCGAACCUUCGGGUUAGCGGCGGACGGGUGAGUAACGCGUGGGAACGUACCCUCUUCUGCGGGAUAGCCACUGGA